RNAcentral lists this ribosomal RNA (492 nucleotides) under uncultured bacterium. RNAcentral's name for it is "partial 16S ribosomal RNA". It matches the Rfam family "Bacterial small subunit ribosomal RNA", at positions 29 to 507 of the family's 1533-position model. The record is from RNAcentral.
AGUGAACGCUGGCGGUAGGCCUAACACAUGCAAGUCGAACGGCAGCACAGUAAGAGCUUGCUCUUACGGGUGGCGAGUGGCGGACGGGUGAGGAAUACAUCGGAAUCUACUUUUUCGUGGGGGAUAACGUAGGGAAACUUACGCUAAUACCGCAUACGACCUACGGGUGAAAGCAGGGGAUCUUCGGACCUUGCGCGAUUGAAUGAGCCGAUGUCGGAUUAGCUAGUUGGCGGGGUAAAGGCCCACCAAGGCGACGAUCCGUAGCUGGUCUGAGAGGAUGAUCAGCCAAAACUGAACUGGGAAAAGGUCCCGAACCCCACGGGAGGCAGCAGUGGGGAAUAUUGGACAAUGGGCGCAAGCCUUAUCCAGCCAUACCGCGUGGGUUAAGAAGGGCUUCGGGUUGUAAAGCCCUUUUGUUGGGAAAGAAAAGCAGCAGGUUAAUACCCCGCUGUUCUGACGGUACCCAAAGAAUAAGCACCGGCUAACUUCGUG